UACACUCCUACGGGAGGCAGCAGUGGGGAAUAUUGGACAAUGGGCGCAAGCCUGAUCCAGCCAUGCCGCGUGAGUGAUGAAGGCCCUAGGGUUGUAAAGCUCUUUCACCGGAGAAGAUAAUGACGGUAUCCGGAGAAGAAGCCCCGGCUAACUUCGUGCCAGCAGCCGCGGUAAUACGAAGGGGGCUAGCGUUGUUCGGAAUUACUGGGCGUAAAGCGCACGUAGGCGGAUCGAUCAGUCAGGGGUGAAAUCCCAGGGCUCAACCCUGGAACUGCCUUUGAUACUGUCGAUCUGGAGUAUGGAAGAGGUGAGUGGAAUUCCGAGUGUAGAGGUGAAAUUCGUAGAUAUUCGGAGGAACACCAGUGGCGAAGGCGGCUCACUGGUCCAUUACUGACGCUGAGGUGCGAAAGCGUGGGGAGCAAACAGGAUUAGAAACCCCGGUAGUCCCAUG
Molecule: ribosomal RNA, 451 nt
Filed under: uncultured organism
Description: partial 16S ribosomal RNA
Rfam family: Bacterial small subunit ribosomal RNA
Source: RNAcentral